RNAcentral lists this ribosomal RNA (100 nucleotides) under Pseudomonas aeruginosa. The record is from RNAcentral. Lineage: Bacteria; Pseudomonadati; Pseudomonadota; Gammaproteobacteria; Pseudomonadales; Pseudomonadaceae.
CGUUGGAACCACCUGAUCCCUUCCCGAACUCAGAAGUGAAACGACGCAUCGCCGAUGGUAGUGUGGGGUCUCCCCAUGUGAGAGUAGGUCAUCGUCAAGC